GCCGGAGUGGCGGAAUGGCAGACGCAGUUGACUCAAAAUCAACCGGGGUUUCCUCGUGGGGGUUCGAGUCCCUUCUCCGGCACCA
RNAcentral lists this transfer RNA (85 nucleotides) under Anaerosporomusa subterranea. Its description in RNAcentral is "tRNA-Leu". It matches the Rfam family "tRNA". Rfam says of the family: Transfer RNA (tRNA) molecules are approximately 80 nucleotides in length. Their secondary structure includes four short double-helical elements and three loops (D, anti-codon, and T loops). Further hydrogen bonds mediate the characteristic L-shaped molecular structure. tRNAs have two regions of fundamental functional importance: the anti-codon, which is responsible for specific mRNA codon recognition, and the 3' end, to which the tRNAs corresponding amino acid is attached (by aminoacyl-tRNA synthetases). tRNAs cope with the degeneracy of the genetic code in two manners: having more than one tRNA (with a specific anti-codon) for a particular amino acid; and 'wobble' base-pairing, i.e. permitting non-standard base-pairing at the 3rd anti-codon position. Lineage: Bacteria; Bacillati; Bacillota; Negativicutes; Acetonemataceae. The record is from RNAcentral.